UAUCCGUGGAACAAAUAUCUCAAAAAUGAAGACAAAAUAAUUAUUUUCAGAUAAACAAAAGUCUAGAAAUUUUAUCUUCUACAACUCUACACUGUAAAAAUGCUAAAGGGAGUUUUUUAGAUCAGAUGGAAAUUUAAAUCUGUAGGAAGGAAUAAAAAGGAGUAGAAAUGAUAUUUUAUCCCAGAGGCCAGACAUCCUGAAGUCUUCCCUUUCACACUCCUCUACGCACAGCACUGGAGUUACCCCACUCUCUCCAGCAGGUGAAAUGCCAAAACACACAAGGAGGCAAGAACUUUGCAGAAAGCUGUGUGAGAAGGGAAAUGGAACACAAGCAACUGACUUGUGAAACAGAAACCUUGACAAGGCAUGGGCACAGCUGAGAAAGAAGACGGAUAAGCCCCAGAGAGAGAUGCCCUUGAUCUGAUGGUUCCUGACAAGUGUUUAUUAGUAAUCUCUAACAUAGGG
Canis lupus familiaris (dog) is the source of this 465-nucleotide long non-coding RNA. RefSeq lists it as uncharacterized. The transcript has 3 exons. The record is from RefSeq and is a predicted model, not a curated record. Lineage: Eukaryota; Metazoa; Chordata; Mammalia; Carnivora; Canidae.